This 433-nucleotide ribosomal RNA is filed under the name uncultured bacterium. RNAcentral's name for it is "partial 16S ribosomal RNA". It matches the Rfam family "Bacterial small subunit ribosomal RNA", at positions 29 to 507 of the family's 1533-position model. The record is from RNAcentral.
AACGAACGCUGGCGGCAUGCCUAACACAUGCAAGUCGAACGAGACCUUCGGGUCUAGUGGCGCACGGGUGCGUAACGCGUGGGAACCUGCCCUUAGGUUCGGAAUAACUCCCCGAAAGGGGUGCUAAUACCGGAUAAUGUCUUCGGACCAAAGAUUUAUCGCCUUUGGAUGGGCCCGCGUUGGAUUAGCUAGUUGGUAGGGUAAAAGCCUACCAAGGCGACGAUCCAUAGCUGGUCUGAGAGGAUGAUCAGCCACACUGGGACUGAGACACGGCCCAGACUCCUACGGGAGGCAGCAGUGGGGAAUAUUGGACAAUGGGCGAAAGCCUGAUCCAGCAAUGCCGGGUGAGUGAUGAAGGCCUUAGGGUUGUAAAGCUCUUUUACCCGGGAUGAUAAUGACAGUACCGGGAGAAUAAGCGCCGGCUAACUCCGUG